Molecule: unclassified non-coding RNA, 431 nt
Filed under: Hevea brasiliensis (rubber tree)
Lineage: Eukaryota; Viridiplantae; Streptophyta; Magnoliopsida; Malpighiales; Euphorbiaceae
Source: RNAcentral
GAGCUACUGAAUUUACUAAUUUCUUCCAAUGGGUCUACAUACAACCCUGAGGAUGAAGAUGCAGGGGUUGAAGCUGAUUCUAAGACAACAAAAGGGUCUUCUAUUAUACUGGAGGUUAUCCUGGCCGAAUUUGCUGAUGGUUUCUGGGACCGACUGGACUCUGAAGUUGACCUGGGAAUACUAGGGGAGCUACUGCGACCAAAACCAGGAAGCAAAUCAUCAAAAGCAGCUGAAUCCUUAUCCGCUUUGGCAGUCUCUCUCCUGGAUUCAGUCUCCUUUUUACCUAAAUUCUCCAACAGAUCAUCGAAUGGCGAGCUGUUGUUUUGCGCCCUACGUUUUGGGGAAGAAGCAGUACCGAUCGAAGUAAACGCAUCAUCAAACUUAGCCGAUUGCGGACCCACAGACGAACUCUUGAGACCAGGCAAUCCAUC